Juglans microcarpa x Juglans regia is the source of this 1174-nucleotide long non-coding RNA. RefSeq lists it as uncharacterized. The record is from RefSeq and is a predicted model, not a curated record. The transcript has 2 exons. Lineage: Eukaryota; Viridiplantae; Streptophyta; Magnoliopsida; Fagales; Juglandaceae.
UCUUUACGCGAGCUUAAUCUUGGGAAUUGCUCAAGCCUCCGUGAUCUUCCUAAAAUCGAGUGUAAAAUAGAAUCUUUAAGGACAUUGGUUCUACAUGGCACUGCUAUAGAAGAACUACCUUUAUCCAUCGGGAACCUCGUUGGACUUAAGGAAUUAUAUCUAUCUACUGCAAAAACCUUAUGCGUCUCCCAAUUGCUUUGAUCCAGUUGCAACAUUUACAUUGGCUUUGUAUUGGUGGUUGUACAAAUACUGUAAAGAAGUGAGGGAUGAUGGACAAUCCCUUGAUCUGCCUAAUUAUUCUACAACAAUGUAAGACGAGAUAUCAAAUUCAAGCAAUGGGAGCACUACAUUACACAUACCGAAUCUUCAAAUUAGUUGUUGUCAUUCAAAAUCAAACUUCUUUCCAAUAUAUAGUUUAUUUACCAUGUUUAAUUCCUUAGCUAGUUUGCUUCGUUUAGAUCUAUCGCAGACUGAAAUUGUUAGUCUUCCCACGAGCAUCAAAGGAUUCGUUAAACUAACUAAUCUUGACUUGAGCUUUUGUCGUAAACUUGAAGAAAUACCAGAGCUUCCACCAAAUAUAAGGGAAGUGAAUGUUAUGGGAUGCAAGUCCCUAGAAAGAUUUGGAGAAGUAUCAAACAUAUUGGAAUUCAAUGGAAGUCACAUCAGAUCGCUAUGAGUAAUUGAAUUGGUCGGCUGCGACAAAAUGCAUGUGAAUAUAUGGAAUGAUAAAGUGCAAAAUCCAUUAUUGUGGAAGGGAAUCUAUGUAUAUGAUGCUACUUUGUUUUCGGAAAAUCAUAUUCCAGACUGGUUAAGUUAUGUUUAUGAGUUUUUAAAAGAUAAUGAAAUGGUGAAGGGGCUUGAUGAUGAUGUCGAACCGAGGAAAAAAGAAGAGUGGGUAAUAGAAAUGAAGAGGCCACACUAUUUGGAGGAGAUAAGCAGAAUUGUAUUAUAUGUCGUAACGUUUUUUAUAGAUUCCUGGAUUAUCACUUUUAGGCUGGGAGACUGAUAUUGGUGAUACUAAGAUAACCAGUAACAACUCAAAUCAUGUAUGUUGUAUUCAAGAAGGGGUACAAUUGUUUAAUAUGGAUUGGUACAACGUGGAAAAUUGGACAGGAUAUUGUGUAUGGGUGGGGUACUCCAAUUUACAAUCUUUUGAUCUCAAGGUUUUGGACAA